CGCUCUUUUUUUUUCGUCUGUGAGCGGUAAAAGCAGCGCCGAGCGGCAAUUUGUAUGAGUGGCCGGUUUCUUCCGCUGACAAAGAAGCGGGCGCCAUGCUUCACCGGACGGCGCGCCGGCUGCUGGGGUACACCCCAAUAAACCCAGAUACGUCGCCAAUGCUCAUGUAUAGUCAAUGCCACUGGCACUACAACUUACCGCAGGGGAUGGAGCGCCCCAGCAGUGUGAACCGCUCUCUGCCGGCACCCUAUCAGCCACACCACAGCUCUGUGAACAAGUACCGUGGUGUAUGGAUCUCGACGGAGAUGCACCCCGCAUUUCUUGUAGGGCUUGAACCGCAGCUAAAGAAGCUUCCUCACGGGCGUUUGGUUCCGCAGACGCCGGUCGCGGAGGUGAUCGAUGAGUUCGAGAAGCUCAGCCCGCUGAUUGACGAUGCCGCGGCCCGCGAUGGCUGGCUUGCAAAGAUCUUUCAGCACUGCGCCUUCCAGCGCAGCGGUGCGGAGGCGAUGGCUCUGUGGAACAAGCACUGCGCUCCUCGAUUUAUGCGCGAUGACAGCGCGUCUGCGCCGCCUCUCCCACUCGUGCAGGCUAUCCUCUUCUGCUGUAGCAAGUCUGACAGCGCAGAGUGGCGGCCCAUCUUUACCAAAUGUCUAAAGGAUGGGUGGAACUACACCCCCUCCUUUGACACACCGCAGUGGAGCUACCUGUUAAAAAGUCUGGGUCGCCAAGGAGACGAGGAGGGCGUGCGGUUGGUACUGGAGGAGAUGGCAGACGUGCAGGCGGAUCUGGAUCGUGUGGAGGCGCGCUCACUCGUAUAUGCACUAAAUGCGGUACAUGAUAAGGCUAUCUACAACUACGUCAAAAAGUACCUCUUCUACUUGGGCGAGCGGAAGGUUAAGUUCUUGCGGAUCACGUACGCUGACCUGCGCGGGCACGGCGCGGAAAAACUGCGUGUGCCGCUGAAAGAGAAUGACUCGAUGUUCUACCACGUUUGCUGGCACGCCAGCAUCCGUCAGCCGCGCCAGUUCUCUCCACGACAGCUCUACUUUGACUACACGCCAUCCCAACUCGCCACAAGCGGGCACAGCCCGAAUGCAAAGGUGGACGGCAUCGUGAAGGACAAGAUCGACAAAUGGAAGGCGGAGGGUCUUCUGCCGGAGGAUUACGUUUACGAAGAUCGCGUCUACGAUCGCACCGCGGCUUUUAAGAGUGUGGCCCGCCAAGAGAAGUGGAAGAAAGUGCCGUGGAUCGUCAAGAGCAAGCGGUUCGGCUACUCAGGGGAGCCGUGAGGCCGUUCCUGAUCUUCUAGUUCUUUACUUUCUGUGUACGCUGCCGUUCCGAAGGCACCGCCUCGGCUCUCACCGCGUAUGCCAGCUGACUGGCUUGGGCCACUUCAGGAAGAGGGUACCGCAGGCACAGAACGCAGUGAAACCGACUUCACCGUUGUUUUGUUAGAAGUGCUGUGUGACACUCGCGCUGGUGAUCUUUGGUGUAGCGUAUGCGCAUGGUAGUGCGUGUGGUUAUUCACAGCUCUGUUUGUGCGUAUGUGUGCCUUAUUGUCUCACUGUCACCAGUGGUACAUGUAAUCG
Molecule: unclassified non-coding RNA, 1589 nt
Filed under: Leishmania donovani
Lineage: Eukaryota; Euglenozoa; Kinetoplastea; Trypanosomatida; Trypanosomatidae
Description: gene:LdHU3.30.0860(CDS-product:hypothetical_prote in_conserved)
Source: RNAcentral